Molecule: ribosomal RNA, 429 nt
Filed under: uncultured bacterium
Lineage: Bacteria
Description: bacterial SSU rRNA
Rfam family: Bacterial small subunit ribosomal RNA
Source: RNAcentral
UCUAGAAGCUUCGGCAAUGGGGGAAACCCUGACCGAGCGACGCCGCGUGCAGGAUGAAGGCCUUCGGGUUGUAAACUGCUUUCGACAGGGAAGAAGGGCGUUUGGGAUAAUACCCCGAUCGUUUGACGGUACCUGGAGAAGAAGCCUCGGCUAAUUCCGUGCCAGCAGCCGCGGUAAUACGGGGGAGGCAAGCGUUAAUCGGAUUUAUUGGGCGUAAAGGGCGCGUAGGCGGUUUCUUAAGUCAGGUGUUAAAGACCACGGCUCACCCGUGGGGCUGCGCCUGAUACUGAGGGACUGGAGUGCAACAGAGGCAAGCGGAAUUCCCGGUGUAGCGGUGAAAUGCAUAGAUAUCGGGAGGAACACCAGUGGCGAAGGCGGCUUGCUGGGCUGUAACUGACGCUGAGGCGCGAAAGCCAGGGGAGCGAACGG